This 118-nucleotide ribosomal RNA is filed under the name Petromyzon marinus (sea lamprey). Lineage: Eukaryota; Metazoa; Chordata; Hyperoartia; Petromyzontiformes; Petromyzontidae. The record is from RNAcentral.
AAGUACAGCCGUUCACCCGGAAAGCACCCGAUCUCAUCAGACCUCAGAAGUUAAGCAGGGUUUAGCCUGAAUAGUGCUUGAAUGGGUGGCCACCAUGUAUAUAUGCAUGUUGAACUUC